This is a non-coding RNA of Anas platyrhynchos (mallard), 1753 nucleotides long. The record is from RefSeq and is a predicted model, not a curated record. Lineage: Eukaryota; Metazoa; Chordata; Aves; Anseriformes; Anatidae.
CAGAUAACGCUGAGAUUUCGGGAGACAGAGCGGCGACGCUUCCCGUCCAGCUCCAGGCACGCAGCCCUGCUGGCUGCCCCAGCCAGGUCCACGUCGCGCGGCUGUACCUCGGGUCCUGGAAACACACCGUGGUCUGGCAAUCAGACGUUUGCUGAGUUUGGGGCACGAGCUCCUCACACACCAAUUUCUGAACCCCCCUCCUGUCGCAGCCAGCUGCCACGCCACAAGAAGCCACAAGAAGCUGCCCCAUCCUUUCCCUGCCCAGCUGGAACUGGCAUUUCAGGGUGAAUCUGGCUUUUACAACACGAGGGCUGGAGAUCACAAAAAAUGCCCAACCUGAAGAAAUUCCCCAGCAGAGGCCGGUUCAAUGAGCAGGACGGAGGCGAUGAACCCCAUAUUAAACACCGGAGAAGCCUCUCCGUGGCAGCAAGCCUCUUUCCCUGGGGUUCAGGGCCGCUCUCCCCCAAAACACGGGCUUGUUUUGCCAUCUGCUGGUGGGAGGCCGGCAGAGGAGGUGCUGCAGGGCAGAGGGCAGCCAGGAGAUGGAUGCUGGGGCUCAGACCCCUGCUGCAGCUCCAACCCCCUGCAGCUCCUACCCAGUCCCCCCCUUCCCAACGUGGAGGUCUCGGGCAUCAGACACGGGUGGUCUGGCCCAGGAGGACAUGGUUUGGAUUUUAGUGGGGUCAGGGGGUUGUAAAACCAUCCAACGGGGCUUGGCGAAGCGAGAGGAGCUCUCCAAAAUCCCAAAUUUCUCCACAAAGAGCUGGGCACGGAGCAGGGCUCGCCGUAGGUCUGGGAAGGUGUUGGUGUGGUGCUGGGGGGCUCAGCUCAUAAUGCUUCAUAUUUUCUGGGUGAAGCUUUUCCCAAAGGCAUUGAGCCCGAUUCCUCCUCCUAGGUUUGGGUUUGGGGGUGACCCACCACCUGUUUGAGGGAUGCCCGAGCUGCUCGGUCCAUGCCUGUGGCCCCACACCCCAUGGGCGAUGAGCAGAGACUCCGGUGCCUUCCCCAUCAGCUUCUGGAGGAGAUAAAAGCUUUUGGAGCAGAUAAAAGUGUCAGGAGAGGGAGCCAGAGCCUCGGCUGAGAGCAGGGAGAGAAGGGAUUGGGGACACAGCCCCUUCGGUGGCUUGGCAGAGCGGCUGCCCUCAUUACAGUCUUUAGAAAAAGGGGCCUGGAGCUGCCCAAGGGGUCUUCAGCCCAUUUUUUGGGGGGGUUGGAGGCCGUGCAGGGAGCCAGGAGAAGGCAAAGGGUCUUUGUGUUGUCCCCUGGGGCCUCCUCAGCCACAGCCUGCCCUGCUGUGGGUGCUUGCUUACAAAUAAUACACUAACCAUGUAUUUAGGGACGUUUUUUUGGGUAUAGAUUGGGCAGGAUGAGCCCCACCGACCCCAAAAUCCCCUGUACUGAGCUGGGGGGCCCAGCAGGGACAACGGGGAUCGUCCCACCUACGGCAGAUAAAACCCAGAGGUGCCACACGGUGCCCCACACCAUCACGGUGGGAUGCUUGAUGAGACCAUCAGCACUGAUUUAGGCGUGCUGCCUCCUCCCACGGGGCAGAAAAAGGGGCUGAACAACCCCUCAGGGUCCUUCCCAGCUCCAUUUUUCUGCAUUCCCAUGGGAUAACCCCACGGACCGACCUCCCCUUUCCCCCAGUAAUGCGAAAACGUGGAGAUGAGCGGAUAAGCAGGGAGGGGAGGGAUUAAGUUCAGGGCGCGGGUCAUGGGAGCCGGUUAUAAAUAAACAGAACUCGUUUAAAAGA